Molecule: long non-coding RNA, 3184 nt
Organism: Vigna angularis (adzuki bean)
Lineage: Eukaryota; Viridiplantae; Streptophyta; Magnoliopsida; Fabales; Fabaceae
Exons: 2
Source: RefSeq, a predicted model, not a curated record
UUAAUAUAAACUGUAUCUAUGACUCUUAAAAAAAGUUUGAAAAAAAUAUUGUCACUUCCCCCGUUCUCCUUUGUUUCGCUCAUUUGACUUUAUCUUUGUUCUUUCGACUUUCUUUCGAAUUCGUUCAUCUAAAAGAGCGGUUUUCAUCCCUGUGCGUGUACUUCCCGCGACAUUUCUUAAGCACUUGCUGUAGUGCUCCGUUAGUCCACUGGGUUCAGGCAUUUGUAAGUGAGUAUGUCGUUUGGCAAUCGGACGCUGGUAAUGGAACUCUUCUUGCUGACAUCGCUAAAGCUGCAUUCCUUAUUGGAUUACAAUUCUUUCUUCGUUUCUAUUUUGUUGAUAUAACGGCCCUGGUCGGUCCCAGUUUUUUUGUAUUUCAAAUAGUUGGCUUUCAAGUUUUUGGUACAUAUAAAAAUAUUUAGUUUAUGCGUAGUAGUUUAUUUUUAAGUAAAAAUCUCAUUUUUUUCAUAUCGUUUGUAAGAGAACAUUAGGAGAAAAUUGUUUCAUCCAAAAUAAUCAUUUGAAAACACGUUCCAAAUGAACGUUUUACCUAACAACUUAAGCUUUCGUGUAAAGUUAUUUACUAAACAACCACUACAACUUUCUAAUUUUGUAUGUUAUUGUUUCUCCUGGAAAUAAGUAUAUGUAUUAAAAGUGCUAUGUAUAGAUUUAUAACACUUAGUAAUAAGUAGCAGGGAAUUGGUUACAGAAUAAAAGAGUAAAUGACUUUUUCCGCUGUUGAUUUUCAGUUAUGCAAUCUAGUUAGUUUUAUACAUAUGCUGCAUUAGUGAUUGAUUAAAUUGUGUAUACUUAGAUACUAAAGACACAACUAGUGUGAGUGAUCAUGGCAGGUUGAUAAAAGAUAUAGACAGUACUGCAACUAGAUGUAGAUUGUGGUUUCAUCUUUUGAUAUGGUUGCUGGUUGUGGAGCAACUGAAUCAUACACUACACUGACCUUGAGUACAAUAUCACGUCACUUUCGGUGUUUACGUGAUACCAUUAGUGGCCAAAUUCAAGUGACUCAAAGGAGCCCUGGAGAACAAGAGCUAAUACCUCGUCUACGCUAUGUUGAUGAGCAGCUUCGACAACAAAAGGCACUUCUGCAAUUUGGUGUAAUGCGACAAGCUUGGAGGCCUCAGAGGGGAUUUCCUGAAACCUCUGUUUCAAUACUUCGAGCAUGGCUCUUUGAGCACUUCCUCCAUCCGUAAUUCCCCUGUUUCCAAUUUUCAUUUGGUUCCAGUUAUCCAAAGGAUUCAGAGAAAACUUGCUGGCUAGACAAAUUGGUUUAACAAGAAACCAGGUACGAUAGUUAAUAUUUUUCUCAGUUGUAGAAGAUUGUAUUAGUGCAUGUUUGUGAAUGAUUACUUGUGUUGAAUAAUCACUCUUUUUCGAAGCUGACAGUAAAGAGUAUAUAAUGUUUACACGAACAUUUAUAAGUUGACAUGUAUGGUAAGUUUGCUAAUUUUUAUGAUAAUUAGGUUGAAAGCAAUACCGCUGUUAAACAUAAAAAGUAGUUAUUCCAACAUAAAUGGAACAAAUUAAAUGUCUACAUUUAUUCCUAGAAAAUUUGGUUUUGAUGAGGAUCCAACAUUAAAAAUCAAUGACCCCCUAAAAUUUCAGUCUUGUCGAUGUUUGCUGGCCUCCAUUUGAUUCAUGUCAGGUGGCAAAUUGGUUCAUUAAUGCAAGGGUGCAGCUUUGGAGCUGCAUCACUAAUCGUGGGCUUAAUUUCUUCUUACUAUUGGAUGACUUCUAUGUUACUAAUGCUGUCAAUCCUCUGAUCAAUCAAGCUUCAAUUUCACAUUAGAAUUCACUACAACUACACUUCAUCCCUGGUUCUAUCUUCCUUAUCUCAAUUUUACUUUUUUAGUAUCUGUUUUUGAUAGAAUGAGUUAGUAUAGAUACCAUAUUUUGUUUCUUCUUAGAUAAUAGGUAGAUUGGUUUAUGUACAGUUUUAUAUUGAUGAAAUGAAUUUGUUUACUCUAGCUUGAUUGUAGUUUUGUUUCUGUAAUUGAAUUUUGCUAGUUCAGUGAAUUUUCUUUUAAUUAUAAUAUGGUACUAUAGUUAAAUUAUACAUCUUUAAUCUUAAUAACUAGUUAGCUUUAGUUCUAGUCUUAGUUGGGUGUUCAAAACUUUAGGAAUUAGUUUGGUCAGUUUUUAAUUGUUGAUUCUAGGAUUUGUUAGUUGUUGUCCUGUUUUGACUAAGUUUUAGCUUGUUUUGUAGGUUCAUAUAGUGAUAUUUUGCAUUCUUAGUUUUCUAGAAUAAAUAGUUGUCAUAACAGUACUCUUUUAUCAUUCAUUUAUAACUUGCUUAUUGUUUUAAAGUUGAAGGAACUAAUUUAAAUGUGAUUGUGUUUCCUUUUCAGCACAUUGGCAGUUUAGGAUUAAAUAAUAAUAAAAUAAUUAGGGUAAUAUAACUUCCUGGAUGAGUUUCAUUUGUAUUAUUUAAUUUCUUUGUUCAGGAUCUUCAAGUGUAAGAAUUCAAUUGUGAUUUGUUUCUUGUCUUGUUCAGCCAUGCCAUACUCGAAGCCACUGAGGAAUUGCUUUUUUCUCUAUUGCCUCGUAUGCAUCUCUUUUCCACUUUCUUUACUUUCUUUUUGACACUUGUACAUUCCUAAGUAAUUUUGGUUUCUCGUAGCUUUUAUGAGUUUUGGAUUUAUCGUGAAAUUUGACCGUUACAAGAUGCAAUUGAAAUUAUUCAAAGGAGAGAAUUAAGUAUUUUUUUAGUUUUAUAGUACUUUACAAUAUGUAAUCGAAAUAAUUUAGACGAAAUAAUUAUUUUUUUUUGUUUUAUAAUACUGAAUUCCUUUUUUUAUUUUCUUAGGUGUAGAAAAUUUGAAACGUUGUUUUCUUAGUUCUGACUUCAUUUUCUUAGUUCUGACUUCAUUUUCUUAAUUAUCGAGAGUAUUAGACAAUUUUCUUAUAACUCCCCAGACGCUGUGGCUGCGGACGGCUCAUCCAUUAUCUUAGUAGUGACGCCAUGCUUCUUGUUGGUUGAGCUUUUACGUGAAGGCAAUAGUUAUGUGGAGAAAGAGACCAAGAUGGAGAUCUGGUGAAACCUUAGUUUUUUUUUUAAUCGUUGCAUUUGUUAUUAGUUUUUCACGCAUUGAAUUUGUAUAACUUACUAUUAAGAGUUUAAAUUGUAUAUGGUAUAUAGUUAUUAGAUGCACAAAAUCUAUUUGGAGUU